RNAcentral lists this ribosomal RNA (1661 nucleotides) under Ripella decalvata. Its description in RNAcentral is "bacterial SSU rRNA". It matches the Rfam family "Eukaryotic small subunit ribosomal RNA". Lineage: Eukaryota; Discosea; Flabellinia; Vannellidae. The record is from RNAcentral.
UCAUAUGCUUGUCUAAAAGAUUAAGCCAUGCAAGUGCGAGUGAUUCGGUGCAUCCAUCAGUAAAAUGAGGGAAGGCGCUCAGGAUGACUGCGAAAGGCUCAUUAAAACAGUUAUUGGAUCUGGAUGGUCAGAAGAAGACAAGAAGGAUAAGGGUGUGAAAUUGUUGCCCGCACGAGGGAGGGGGAUCUCGAUCAAACAGCGAUCAAAAGCUGGAAUGAAGAAGGGAUUUCUAGAAUUUCAUAGAGAUAUGAGAGGGAGCAUGUGAAUAUUUGACCUAUCAACUGGGGAUGGUAGUAUAGGGGACUACGAUGGUGGUGACGGGUGACGGAGGAUCAGGGUUUGGUACCGGAGAGGGGGCCUGAGAGAUGGCCACCACUUCUAAGGAAGGCAGCAGGCGCGAAAAUUACCCAAUGUUGGAACAGUGAGGUAGUGACAAGGAAUAACUGCCAAAUGGUUAAAUAAUCAUUUGAUGGUAAUGGAAGGAGGAUAGAGAGGUUCUUGAGUAACGAUCAGAGGGAAAGUCUGGUGCCAGCAGCCGCGGUAAUUCCAGCUCUGAAAGCGUAUACUAGAGUUGUUGCGGUUAAAAAGCUCGUAGUUGGGAGAAGGAGACAUUGAGAAAAAUAGAGUGUUUAAGGGUGAAGUGGGAGAGCACAGGACGUCCUGAGGAGAAUUGGUCUUUACGGAUCAACAUUCCAGGGAGAGAAUAGGAACAAUAGAGGAUAUUAGUAUUUUAUAGUUAGAGGUGAAAUUCUAUGAUUUAUGAAAGACUAACAGGGGCGAAAGCAUUUAUCUCUUGUAUGUUUAUUGAUAAAGAACGAAAGUUAGGGGAUCGAAGAUGAUUAGAUACCGUCGUAGUCCUAGACUAUAAACAAUACUAACUAUGGAUUUGGGGGGGCCGAGAGACACUUUCUAUGUGUUUCAAAGGGCGCGUGAGGACAUUGCGAGAAAUCAUUGAGUAUUUGAGUUCCGGGGGGAGUAUGGUUGCAAGACUGAAACUUAAAGGAGUUGACGGAGGGGCACCACAAGGCGUGGAGCUUGCGGCUUAAUUUGCCUCAACACGGAGAAACUUACCAGACCAAGACAUCAUUGAGGAUUGACAGACGAGGAGGUUUUUCGAGAUAGGAUGGGAGGUGGUGCAUGGCCGUUCUUAGUUGGUGGAGUGAUUUGUCAGGUUAAUUCCGAUAACGAACGAGAUUUUAGUGGAAGAGACGUCCAUCGUCUUCAGCAAUGAAGAGGGAGAUGGUUAUUUCAGAUGGAUAGGAAAAUAAACUAUAGGAAGAUUAAAGUGAUAACAGGUCUGUGAUGCCCUUAGAUGGUUUGGGCUGCACGCGUGCUACAAUGAUAGAGACAGAGAUCCACUCUCCCUCCACAAAGAGGAAGAGAUUGACGCAUCGAAGGAUGGGUUGAAAGGAUGGAGAAUCUAUCAUGUUAGGGGAUUAACGAUUGGAAUUAUUCGUUAUGAACACGGAAUGCCUAGUAAGUAUAAGUCAACAGGUUAUAUUGAUUAGGUCCCUGCCUCUUGUACACACCGCCCGUCGCUGCUACCGAUUGAAUAGUAAAUGUGAAAUGGGAGGACUGGCCACUCUUGUUUAUUCAGGAGAGGAAAGGAAAACUAUUGAAUGUUUAUAUUUAGAGGAAGCAAAAGUCGUAACAAGGUUUCC